UGAAUUAUUUAAAGUGCAUAUACAUUUGAUCAGCUAAAAGCGUACAAAUCUAUGGAAGCAAUCAACCAGUUGAGCUGUGGUUGGGUUCGUGACGUACAGAGCAUGACUGUAAAUGACAAUGUUUUGGUGACUGCAAAGGUUCGACACCCCCAGCAGAUGAACGCAACACCACUUCAUCCCUGGGUCAUCGCCAAUAAAGACGGUAUGGUAGAGGCAGCACAUUGCGACUGCAAAGCUGGUCUCGGGGAGACUUGCUUUUCCACAUAGAGUUUAUACAUCGCCUCAUGUCCCGCAGAACUGUGACACAGGAAAAGGCUUACUGGUCCAUGCCUUCAGCAGUCGACAAGGUGCCCUAUGCUGCAGUUCGGGAUAUCGAUUUCACUUCUGUGUCAAUCAAGAAAAGGCGCCUUGACAGUGUUAUUAAUGGUGAGGACGUUCAACAAGAGCGACAACCUCUCGAACCUCAUCCCUAUCCAACUUCCUCUGAUAUCUGAAAUUAAACAGCAUACUAAUAAUAACACGUACUUAAUAUAGAGACAGACCAACAUACCAACACUGAGACUCACUGACUCUUGUACAAUUCCAGUUCGAACCCAUCAAAUCCAGAUAGCACAUUGGGUAGUCAUUUUUCAUUCAUUUUUAGAUCAAACCAGUGUACCUUUUUUGUUUGUUUCUAUCUUCUUCUCUUUCUUCAAAGAUUUACUUGGUGUCAGGUCUUCUCCAAGAAGAAGGGUUGGGGCCCAAUCAGGAUUGGAUCUUUCAUACAUACUAGAUGGUUUGCCUGAAAAACAGAAUAUCAUUAAAAUUAAACUAUAUAUCAAAUAAGCAUACGAGAUGUUAAUAUUCUGAGUUAAUUGUCAUAGAACAAUGUACACUUGUUCAGAGUCAGAUCUAUGCAAAGAAAUAUCAUGCAUUGACUGCACUUUACCGCUGCAUCCUGCAUGAGGCCUGAGCCAGCCUAACAAUAACAAUAACAGCCUAACAUAUCUAUAAAUAGAAAGCUCAGGCUUUAACUUUUAAAAUAGAACAUCAAUAUAUCCAUUUCAAUUACCGUUUAUGAA
Molecule: long non-coding RNA, 1061 nt
Organism: Dreissena polymorpha
Lineage: Eukaryota; Metazoa; Mollusca; Bivalvia; Myida; Dreissenidae
Exons: 3
Source: RefSeq, a predicted model, not a curated record